UACGAAGGGGGCUAGCGUUGUUCGGAAUUACUGGGCGUAAAGCGUAUGCAGGCGGAUCGUUAAGUCGGGGGUGAAAUCCCGAGGCUCAACCUCGGAACUGCCUCCGAUACUGGCGAUCUUCGAGUCCGGGAGAGGUGAGUGGAACUCCGAGUGUAGAGGUGAAAUUCGUAGAUAUUCGGAAGAACACCAGUGGCGAAGGCGGCUCACUGGCCCGGUACUGACGCUGAGAUACGAAAGCGUGGGGAGCAAACAGG
RNAcentral lists this ribosomal RNA (254 nucleotides) under uncultured bacterium. RNAcentral's name for it is "partial 16S ribosomal RNA". It matches the Rfam family "Bacterial small subunit ribosomal RNA", at positions 524 to 776 of the family's 1533-position model. The record is from RNAcentral.